UUCUCACAGCAGGAAAGUGGCACUUCGCUAGACUGGCUACAUUGAUUAUCAAGAUGAGGCCGCCUUAAAGAGCAAGCACAGCACUUAAAUAUAUUAUAAUGUGUGGAAGAAUCAUGAUUUAAAAAGACAGCACUGUGAAUUUGCUCUAAGACUUCCCACCUGCUUGCAGGGGCUGCAGUAGUGUGUCAUAAAAUGGAACAUAUGCUGUUCACCCCGGGGAGCAUUUCCAGUUGGGAGCUGUAUCUGUCUGAACAUGAAUGUACAUCAAUGGUUGUGACAAAUCGUGUGAAUGCGUCUUAUAUGAUGAUGGACAGAUGUGAAGAAAUCACACCUGGAAUAGCGUGUUCAUAGUGUUCCUAUUUGGUUACUUAAUUAACUGAAGAGACUGGAUAUUUAACAGGAUUUCAGGAGCUGAGCCACUGAGGCCGAAGGAGGUACAGCCACAUUCAGCACAUGGAAGAGAUGACAUCAACAGAAAAAGUCAAGCCAUGUUUGUGUUCAGUUUCUGUGUGUUUCCCUUUGGGUCAUAUAUAGGAUACGACCUGUUCAAACUGUGCCAUGAAGAGCAAUUUGGAUCCUUGUGGCUCACGCAGAAUACCUAGUGCUACCUCUGCAAUUCCACUGUCUUAGUUUUCAUCAAGACUGUGAUAAAGGCUGCAGAAAAGGAGCAGUUCAACUUGACAGAAGACAUCUGGACUUUUUCAAAACCUCAGGAAACGUUUGAGCUUUUUGUUAUGCUUCAAGUUGCAACAGUAGGGUGGUUGUUCAAAAUGAAGCUCAACACAUUCAUUAUACCAUUGUGCACUCUGCUGAUAAAUAUGCAGAGAAAUUCUAUCUGUUUAAUCUGUGUGGGCAUUUGAACCUUGUGUAAUACUUGGUAGAAAUAACUGGGCUGAAUAAAGAUUAAUUAUUUGUACUGCAGGAAAAUGAAGCAAUUCCCACAGCAGCUGUUUUAAUCUUGGUAGUAAAAUCAGGAGAGUUUGUGCAGAUGCUCCAGUCUUGGGAGGCAUAGAGGCAGAUGUAUCAGAGGAAAUACCAACACAUGGUUUUGCAUAUUUUCUUCUCACUAGUCACAGCUGCAGUAGCACCUAAUUUUCUGUCCAUCAUCCUUUUCUUUCACCACUAUUUCCUGUAGUGCAGCAAUACCACCCAGCUUCUCCCUUCUAUUAGCUGGCAACACAGUACAGAAAUGUAGAAGUGCUGACAUACAUCCACAUAUUUCAAAAAAGUGAAUUUUGCUAAUGAAUACUUCUUCCUGUGAAUAGGACACCAGCAGUUCCACUAUCUUCUGUACUGGGUUCAUAUCUCAGCCAGAGGUUGGGGGUCUGUGUUGUGGUUUGCCAGAGGAAGGAGCACAGAAGCAGCUUGUUCUUGCUGAAACAGAAAGAAAAAAGGUCUCUUCUAAAUUACAUAGAUUGGAUUUGUUUCAUAGGUCUGGGCAGAUGUAUCAGUAUCAAGAACAUCUAAACAGUGGCAUGUGUUGGUUGGGAAAUGUGCGUAUGAAUGACUAUUAAUUUCUUUAACAUAGGAAGUUAAUAGGUGUAUUAUUGCCUUCCUGUAAGCAGACGAAGCAAUUAAAUAAUCAGCAAAAUAUAAUUCCCUGUCGGAGCAAGACUCAAUUAAUUCUUCUUUUCUUAUCUACACUAACGGAUAACUCAUGAAAAUUAUCUAUUGUCAGAAUAUUCUGUCCUCUUACACUGAUGCAACUUCUCAUUAUUUCCCAUUUGAAAGCAUUGCAGAAAAAAUGUAUUUCAAGAGAAGAUAUUUGAAGAUGAUGAUUUAAGUUAACUCCAGCCUCCAGGAGAGGGAGGAAUUGUAAGAACAAGAAGCAUAUGGAAGAACUCACCACAGGAGAACAGUAGGAGAGUAGGAAGUGGGGUAGGAAGAGCAGAAGGAAGAAGAUUAGGAGGAGGGAGGACAGCUGAUCUUUGCCAGUGGGUAGAAAUGAUUGCCACACCAUCAGCUUGUCCAAGUUCCCAUUUCACUCCUGUGAUGACUUCUCACACACUGUGUUUUAGUCACACAUUUUGUAAAUAGAAACGGCAUUUAACCCACUUACGGGAAAACAUCAAAGAAAAAAAUGCCUGAUCCCCACUUUCUUCUUUGAAGUGAAUUUUCAAAAGAUUAUACAAGUUUUAACACCAAUGCCUGCCACCACAGUACAUAGAAAAGUUAGAGUAAGCAGUGUACUAAGUAACAUGACUAAUAUCUACCACACGUUGUUCAUUUUUUUCCAUUCUCCCCCUAAUGGAAUAAAUUAGUACUUUGGAGUUUUCUUUUUCUUUUUUCUUUUAAAUAAAACAGGUCUGUCCCACUGCAUCUGUAUUACAGGCAGCAGACCUGUUUCAUUUGAGAGGAGGGGGAGAUGUCAGCAGUAGCAGUUCUGUUUGGUGCGGAUUUGUUCUCUAAGCUGGGAUUACUCCAGAGCAGCUCUGUCUUCUGCAUACGUGAACUUUUGCCCCGUGGUAGGGAUUUCUGCUGUCAGCCUCAAACCUCUUCCUGAGUUUUACAGCGAGGAAGGGAAAGUGCAAAGAAGAGGACAGGCUCACUGGGAGACCAGUGAUCAGGGGACCGCUCUCCUCCGCUCUUUGUCAGUGCUUCCUACAGCCUCAGUUUCAUAGCCAGAUGUGUUGCUAUUUUCCAUGCCUCUAGAAAAGACACAUAUCCAAUAUGAGGCCACCUCUUGCCAGGGUGGGACACUUUCCCCUGCCAGCCAGAAGCAGCAGAAAGUUUUACUUGAAUGACCUCUACAAUGAUGGAUUUAGCCACUUACUCGUACACAUGUACCACUAAAAGACCACACUACGUCUGCAGAUUCUUCAAGUAUUUCCUUUGCAGAUCAGUGUCACAUCUCUUUCUGAGGUUCAUUUUCAAGCAGCCAUAUUUUUGCUUAUUAUCUGAUCUCGUCCAAACACUGAGACUGACUGUUGGUAUAGGAGUAUAUGAUAUCUUUUUGUCAAAUUGUGUUUACAGGAAUAUUACCAGUGCUUGCUGUCAUGGCAUCUCAUGAGCUUGCUUAGUUGCUGCUUGAAGAUGUUGAUUCACACUAGAGAGCACACUAAUCAGUGUAAAACUUUGUAAAAAUACUGAUACUGCUAGAGUUAGUGGUG
Columba livia (rock pigeon) is the source of this 3110-nucleotide long non-coding RNA. RefSeq lists it as uncharacterized. The transcript has 3 exons. Lineage: Eukaryota; Metazoa; Chordata; Aves; Columbiformes; Columbidae. The record is from RefSeq and is a predicted model, not a curated record.